This is a long non-coding RNA of Bubalus bubalis (water buffalo), 2802 nucleotides long. RefSeq lists it as uncharacterized. Lineage: Eukaryota; Metazoa; Chordata; Mammalia; Artiodactyla; Bovidae. The transcript is spliced from 2 exons. The record is from RefSeq and is a predicted model, not a curated record.
UCCAAGUACUGAAUUGAAUCAGUGCUACCUGGGAUAUCUGCAGAGUGUCAUUGAGAUGUCCUUGACCCUGAGGUCCUUUGGAGCAUCCACUCUGACAACUUGCAGAUCUGUGCUGCCCUUCUCUCUCUGAUCAGGUGGAAAAGCCUGUCCCUUUCUCACGCAAAGCUUUUUUUCACAGGGAAAUCCCACAGCAGUGUGUGCCAAGUGUGCCUAACAAUUCAGUUCUUUCAGGGAGCUACCCAGAAAGGUACGUGGGCUCCUGGUGAGUUGGCUGCUUCGUUUUAGUACACAACCUUCUCCUUCCUUGGACUGACUGGAGGCAGGUUCAAAUACAGCUUUAUAAAAUCCUCACAAACACCCUCCCCUAGCAUUCAGGCCUGGUGGCUGAUUCCACCCUCUAUGGAAACUCCUUCCUCAGUUGUGGAAGUUUCCCUUAAGGAAUCCAUUACUUCCCACAAUCUGUGUUUCAUCAAACAAUAUUCAUUUUAAAACCCAAAUUUUAUUUUCCAUAGUACUUCUGGAUCCAAGAAAAUCAAGGGAAGGGGCUGUUUCAGACAUCGUGUAACAACAGUCCAGAGCCCAGCAUGACUUCCAGGUUCUGCACCAACCAUGACACUGAUAUAUAACGAUAAUCAGAGUGCUGGCAACUCCGCCAAGCCACCAGUUACCCUCCGUAUGUUACUUCCUCUGUGAAAUUUUCCCUGUACCCCUCUACUCACUGAGUUGCUUCCUCUCUUGUCCUUGGGCUUCCCCGAUAGCUCAGUCAGUAAAGAAUCUUCCUUCAGUGCAGGAGACCAGGGUUCGAUCCCUGAUCAGGAAGAUUCCCUGGAGAAGGAAACGGCAACCCACGCCAGUAUCCUUGCCUGGAGAAUUCCAUGGACAGAAGAGCCUGGCAGGCUGCAGUCCAUGGGGUCGCAAAGAGUUGGGCACGACUGAGCGACUUUCACUUCACUUUCACUUGUCCGAACUUCGAGCAGAGCUCUUACUACGCCUAUACACCCCCUCUCAGCCCUGACAGGGCAGGAAACUGUGCCAAAUGCAGGACGAAGAGUAAGGAUAAAUAUUUAUAGGAGGGAUGAGGAUUUGGGUAGUCCAGGCUACAUUCUAGGGCUUAAACACCAGGAAAGGGACUUUCUAUCAAGUCGAAAAACAACAAGGAGGUGUUACGUUUUCUUGAGGCAGGGCAAUUGGCUUGCACAAAGCAGCGUGCCUUAAAAAUAUGCCAGGUCAUUGAGUGAGAGUCGGAUGGGAAUGCGGGAAAACCAUUUAGGAAGUCACCCGCGGUGAUCCUGCAUUGAAAUGUGAAGUGCAAGAAGGUUGCAGUGGCGGGGAAAGGAAGAACUACAUCCGAAAGGUAUUUCAAAAGAAAUAAUAACCAAGGUAGAUUUGCUGAGUUCCCGCUAUUUGUUAGGCUGGGCCAACAGCACCGAAGUGGGUGUGGACUCAGCCCUAUUUCACCCAGGUGCAAAGUGAGGUUGACCAGAUUGAAUGAUUCUCUAGGGAUGACCCACCCGACAAGUGGCAAUGUUGAGCUUCCAGCUUAGGUCGUGGGGCUGCCGAAGCUUCAACUGGCCCAGCCCAGUCACCCAAGCUCUGCACAGGUGGGCUGUGGACAGUUCUCCUAAAUUUCUCAGUUCACUGAGAGGAGCCUCGCAGGGCCCUGGAGUUCAGGGCUGCUUUACAAGCUGCCGAGCCCUGUCGGGACCUUAGAGCUCGGCGCUUACGAGGGGAAAAAGGCUCGUGGCCGCGGAGGCUGGAGCUGACCGGGGCCCGGCCGAGCGGAAGCGGCUGAGUCACGGCAGUGCCAGAACGCUGCCGGCAGUUUAAGAUUAGUGAGCCGUGACGCUCGGCGGCCGCACCUGCGGAACUGUCGGGAACCCCAGCUGAGCCGAAGCGAUGAGUCAGCGCAGGUGACGCCCGCGGACGUUGGUGUGGAGGGCGGCCGCGUGGCUCCACGACCUCCGCGCCUCCGGCUCCCUAGGGCUGCGGAUGGCGGAUCCCAGGCCCUCCCCUUACAUCCGCUCCGCAGAGAUUAGGCGCAGGUUUUCCGUGAUCCCGCCCUGAGAUUGGAAUCUGAGACCCAAAUUUGACAUCUUCAGGAUUCCCCAAACAACAGAUGCUGUGUGCAGGUUUCAGUGGAAGCUCCUGACCUUGUGAAAAGCUCCUGACCUGUGUGUCUCAUAGACUGAGUGGGUGUUGAAGAUCAAAGUGGAGAAGAACUUCCAGAAUUCCAAGAGAAAAUGAACCUUGGUUUUCUGAGAUGACUCCCAACACGGUGGGAGCAUGCCAGAGGGAACUCCAGAGAUCCCUGAUAAACGUGAUCUGAAAGUCUUUCUCCAGUUUCUCCCCACUUGUGCAAUGCUGAAGCCAGAACCCAUUUUAGUAUGAUGAUGUUUUAUUGUUCCUUGUUUAUUUUUUAGUUAAAAGAUGACACCACAGAAAUUGCUGCGGGGGAGGGGAAUGACACCUAAUCACAGUCCAUCAACCAGAAACCACAAUUACUUCUGUUUCUCUCUUUACAUUACUGUUCAUAAAGAAGAGAUUUUUCACAUAGCUGCAACAGAGCCCUCAUUUUCUGUUUUACCGUUUUCAGGUAAUGUUAUGUAAACAUUGGCCCCUGUCGCACAGACCUUCAGGAUCAUUAUUUUAAAUUACUGCAUUAUGCUUACCACAUAAACUAUGCUCCUGUUGCUAUGCGUGUAGGUUGUUUUGUUGACUGUAGGAUGUUGACUGCUCUCAUUUCUGAUUGUCAGUCUUUGUCCUCCAUCCGAAAACGUUCUCACUGGGCAAAAUGAGGAAACU